GCCCAGCUGGCUCAGUCCGUAAAGCUCGAGACUCUUGAUCUCAGGGUCAUGAGUUCGAGCCCCAUGUUGGGUA
RNAcentral lists this transfer RNA (73 nucleotides) under Mustela putorius furo (domestic ferret). It matches the Rfam family "tRNA". Rfam says of the family: Transfer RNA (tRNA) molecules are approximately 80 nucleotides in length. Their secondary structure includes four short double-helical elements and three loops (D, anti-codon, and T loops). The record is from Rfam by way of RNAcentral. Lineage: Eukaryota; Metazoa; Chordata; Mammalia; Carnivora; Mustelidae.